Non-coding RNA from Myotis lucifugus (little brown bat), 73 nucleotides. The record is from Rfam. NCBI's taxonomy places the organism in Eukaryota, Metazoa, Chordata, Mammalia, Chiroptera, Vespertilionidae.
GCUAGUGUGGCUCAGUGGUAGAGCAUCAGCUCAUGCACUGAAGGAUCAUGGGUUUGAUUCCUGGUCAAGGGCA